AAGAAAGCGAAACAGAAAAUGUCGUUUUAAAAUGGAUUAAAUCGAACAGAUUACUAAGAAACUGAUGUGGGCUUAUUUUUCCAAUAGAAAAAGCAAGACAAAACGACCGGGUUUUCCUCUGUUUGAAAAAAAUUUCUUCUCGAUCAAACUAUACGGAGAAAACGAAAGAAGCCGAGUACGAGAUGAUUAAGACAGCUGCAGAGUUAGAUGAUAAAAAGAUUGCAACAAAUCGCACACAGUAAUAACAGGGCUUGAAGGUAGAAGAAAUUGGUUAUAGCAACCCGAAAAAAAAAGCGGAAUAACGAUCACACGGCACACAAUAGAACGAAAUUAUAGGGGAGCAAAGCAGAGUAGGGCAAAGCAAAUCACGUAAAUAC
Molecule: non-coding RNA, 377 nt
Organism: Schizosaccharomyces pombe (fission yeast)
Lineage: Eukaryota; Fungi; Ascomycota; Schizosaccharomycetes; Schizosaccharomycetales; Schizosaccharomycetaceae
Source: the annotation of a GenBank genome assembly